RNAcentral lists this ribosomal RNA (253 nucleotides) under uncultured bacterium. RNAcentral's name for it is "partial 16S ribosomal RNA". It matches the Rfam family "Bacterial small subunit ribosomal RNA", at positions 524 to 776 of the family's 1533-position model. The record is from RNAcentral.
UACGGGGGGGGUAAGCGUUGUUCGGAAUUACUGGGCGUAAAGGGCUCGUAGGCGGCCAACUAAGUCAGACGUGAAAUCCCUCAGCUUAACUGGGGAACUGCGUCUGAUACUGGAUGGCUUGGAUUCGGGAGAGGAAUGCGGAAUUCCAGGUGUAGCGGUGAAAUGCGUAGAUAUCUGGAGGAACACCGGUGGCGAAGGCGGAUCUCUGGGCCUUGCCUGACGCUGAGGCGCGAAAGCUAGGGGAGCGAACAGG